Molecule: unclassified non-coding RNA, 353 nt
Filed under: soil metagenome
Description: partial contains 5.8S ribosomal RNA, internal transcribed spacer 2, and large subunit ribosomal RNA
Rfam family: 5.8S ribosomal RNA (bases 1-120)
Source: RNAcentral
GAUGAAGAACGUAGCUAAAUGCGAUAAGUAAUGUGAAUUGCAGAAUUCAGUGAAUCAUCGAAUCUUUGAACGCACAUUGCGCCCGCCAGUAUUCUGGCGGGCAUGCCUGUUCGAGCGUCAUUACAACCCUCAGGCCCCCGGGCCUGGCGUUGGGGAUCGGCGGAAGCCCCCUGCGGGCACAACGCCGUCCCCCAAAUACAGUGGCGGUCCCGCCGCAGCUUCCAUUGCGUAGUAGCUAACACCUCGCAACUGGAGAGCGGCGCGGCCACGCCGUAAAACACCCAACUUCUGAAUGUUGACCUCGAAUCAGGUAGGAAUACCCGCUGAACUUAAGCAUAUCAAUAAGCGGAGGA